Molecule: transfer RNA, 80 nt
Filed under: Felis catus (domestic cat)
Lineage: Eukaryota; Metazoa; Chordata; Mammalia; Carnivora; Felidae
Rfam family: tRNA
About the family: Transfer RNA (tRNA) molecules are approximately 80 nucleotides in length.
Source: Rfam by way of RNAcentral
GCCUGGGUGGCUCAGUCGGUUAAGCGUCCGGCUUCAACUCGGGUCAUGACGGUUUGUGGGUUCGAGCCCCGCAUCGGGCU